Long non-coding RNA from Rhineura floridana, 3858 nucleotides. RefSeq lists it as uncharacterized. The record is from RefSeq and is a predicted model, not a curated record. NCBI's taxonomy places the organism in Eukaryota, Metazoa, Chordata, Lepidosauria, Squamata, Rhineuridae. The transcript has 3 exons.
GGGAGCAGAGGGGCAGUUGAGGGCCCCCCUGUAGCUCCAGGGGCCAUCGGGCCAGUGCCCCACCUGGCUGCCCUUUACAACCGGCCCUGAGUAUGGGUUUACAGGGGGGAAACUGCAUGAUAGCUUCUGUUUGCCAGUAAAGUUAUGUGAACCAUGCAAAUUAAAAGGAGAUGUGAGUAGCACCAAAUGCACAGUAAACUACAAUGUAGAUGAACCCUAAAUACAUCUGGUUUUGAAGGCUGCAUCAGGCUUCAGGCAUAAUUAAAAAAAAAACCAAACCUAGAAGAUAGCAAUGGAUAUGAACUUCAUGGGGAGACUCCAUGGUAAAAUGGCUAAAUGACAACUCAUCAGUUUAGUUGAAUACAAUUCAUUACUAUUUAUUUGAAUCUGAAUACAGAUAAUAGUUUCCUGUCGUUCUAUCACCAGUCUUUUGUAGUAAAAGGUUACUGGGCCUAUUUAACAUACAUUGAGAUUCUAAUUGAAUUAUCGCUGAUUGUACUUUUUGCAUGUUAUUGCCAUUCAAUCCCCCCUUUACAUUUUUCUCCUUAUACCUGCCAACUGAGAAUUAAUUCCAUGAAUCUGAAGAUAUGGGCUGUAGUUAAAGACAGCUUGUGCCAUAAUAAAUGUGUUAGUCUUUAUUGUGCCAUUGGAUACUUUUUUGUUUUUGCUGAAAUGGAUAAACAUGGCUAGCUCUCUGGAAGUUUAUUUGAUGAUAUGGGUACCAUUUGAGGUCUCCAUGUGAGAUUCUAGGUUCCAGCAUAAACACUAAAAAAGCAACAACAAAAAAGCAGUCUUACCUUUUUAAUAGAACCUAAAUCUAUGAUGGUAAUUCAGAUAUAAGGGCUGUAAUUACCAUGGAUAAGAUUAGUUACUUAUGGUUUCAACAUCUAUCCUGUGUUUGUGGGAGACUUCCCACAAUAUGUUGUGUUUUCAACAUCAGAAGUUCCAGCCUUCCCCUAUUAUUCACUCACAAGGAGAAAUAAAGUAUGUGAAUGAAUUGAUAAUGGACACGGAUGUAAUGGUCCAGAGUCACGGGGCUGCGUAGGUCAUAGACCAGUUCCUUUUUUGGAAGCAGGGUCCCAGCCAGGUCCCUAUGUAUGAGCCAAUCAGCAGGAAAAGAGAGUGUGUUAGCCACUGAGAAGAGUCCUUGUCCUUUCAUGCUGAUUGGAACCAAUCAGAGUGAAAGGAGUUGAGUCAGCCACUGAGAAGACUCUUUUCAGUAGCUAAUGCACAGCCUCCCCUUUCGUGCUGAUUGGCUGUUAGGGAUGUCUGUUGUGGUGGAGUGUAGACUCGUGAGACAAUGGGGAGAGCAAGGGAGACCAGGAAAGUGGAAAAGGGGUGUGGCUGUCAUGAAAGGAUCCUGCAUUUCUGAAUUUUGCAACUACACUACUGAGAUUCAUGGAUUUUCACAAGAGAAUAUCACAGUAGCUACUUGAGGGGACUCAGACUGGUGUGAAAGUAAGGAUUUUAGCAAGAAUCCUUUUAUUUCUCUUCUUAAUGUUUGUGUGAGUGAAGCACUGUAUGCGUUAUAUUUGACAUUAAUGAAAUGUCAAGACCAGUUUCUAGUACUCACAAUCAUUGUUUUCUAGUGUUCAUUUUGUCUUCAUUGGAAGAUGAGGACAAAUACAUUGCAGCCUAAGAAGGAAAAUAAAUAUUGAAGAUGGAAGCCAUGAAAAAUAAGCAUUGUGGUUGCUCAUAAACUUCAUUCUUUCACACCAAGGUUGGUUAUUCUAGUUGCCAGCAAUGGACAUUCUAAAAAUGCCAGCAUUAAUUAUUUAUUGCUCCUUGUUGCCUCAGCAUAGAAAAACAUAUGCUAUGUAUUUGUGUGUGCUUCUUAGAAAAUGAACAUGCACUAUCUUUCUGGGCGAAUACAUUCUUCCAUGUGGCACUGUAAAAUAUUCACGUUAAUUAAUUAAUUAAAAACGUACAUUUUAACAUUCAAAACCUUCAUAUAAAAACUUCAAAAGAAACACAAUACAGCUGACAAAUCAAAACAUCACACAAUAUGUAAAACAUAUAUUGCAGUUCCCAUUCCUUGGCACAGUUGUGAAACCAAGCUAUUAACAUAAUCAGCUAAUCGCAAUAAUGAUUUCUAAAAGAGCCAUCAAAUUAAAAUAGUGUCAGCCAUAAACCUUUUAAAAUCCUUUCUAAACGACCUUGGUUUUGAUGGCUGACUGAAGCAGUGAAGUGAUGGGGCCUGGCACACCUCAAUUGCACAGGCUGGGCACCAACACAAAAAAAGCCCUGCCGCUGGUUACCACCCACUGUGCUUCACAAGGUUGAAGGAUCUGGAGUAGGGCCUCAGAUGAUUACCAGAACAUGUGGUAAGAAUCAUACAGAAGAAGACAAACAUAUGCUGAACAAAGGUGCCAUGCCUAGACCACGCUGGCUAUGGAAACCAAGUUAAGAUUCUAAUAGUCCAUUUUCCAAUUCCUUGAAAGGAGCCCAUUGCCUAACAUUUCAGAAUGUUUGGCUCUUCUAAUAUGAAAACUGUUAAUAUCAAAAAACGUUUGGGCCCAGCCAAUGUGACUUUGCCCUUUCUAAGCCAGGACAGCAAUCUACAAUAUGUUUAUUUCAUCUAGCAAUGUUAAUGGAUUAUGGCUCUUUUUCUUUCCCAAUAAGAAAUCCUGUAAAUCAGUAAAAACAAAGAAAGAAUCAAGUAAGUUUUCAAAAGCUGCAUGCAGAUUUAGUAUCCCUUUAAAAAAAACAACACCAUCCUUCUAUCCUAGAAUUCAUCAUUUUAAUACAGGGGACUCCAGGCUCCUUGCAGAGGCUACACAUGCAGUUGUGUAGCAACAAAAAUAGAGGCAGGUAGAUAUUUUGCCCAGAGUAAUCUGGAGAUCUUGCUGCUUGACUAGUGCACUUUCCCACAGAGAACUAUGUCAUGCAAUAUUCAUGUCACCUUUGUUUCUUUUCCAAGUAAGAAAAUCCCAAAUGUCUGCCCAAGCCAACUGGGCGUGGCACAUUAAUACUAAGAUCCUGGAGCAGAAGUCCACAAAGCUACAGUUUUGUCUUUCAGUGGCUUCUCUGAUCUAAUCUCUCUCUUUUUUUAUUGGCCAUGUUCUCUUAUCUAACAGAUAUCAUGCCUAUAGAAAUGGAAAUGCACAUAGCUUAAGUCUGAAUGCAUUUUCUUUCUCGCCAGCACUGGUAACUUUGCGGCUGCUGUGUCUGUUUCUUUUUUUAUCACACAUAUGAAGGAAAAAGAUGCUUUGCAGGCUUGCCAGCUUGCCAUGAAGCAGCCAGAUGCUUGCAAACAUCUGGAUUCAGUGAGAGUGAAAUUCUUAAUCCUGAGUCUUUGGAACUGGGUGUUCAGACUCUGUUGCCCAGUCAGUAAUCAUUUACUUGGGAUAAUCAAAGCCAAAAGAAAAAUGGAGUUAGAAGGGCUUGUGCCAAACAUCAAGAGAUAACCGCAACCAUUCUGGAGCAAGGAAGAAAGCCUGAUCGGAGCACAUUCCUGUACUGCUCACUCAUCCAUUGAGACUUAAAAACUUCUGGGCAAUUCUGAAACAUCUAUGGCUAAAAUGGGCAGGCAUCAAGUGGCAACAACUACAUAGCCAAGUGCUGCUAAGACAGUGGGUGUGUUCCUGGACAACACAAGAGCUCAGGACUCUAAGCACUCUUGGAAGAAAGCAGGAAUAACACAAAUUCCAGAGGCCUUUGGAGACAAAGAGGAAUGCAAGUGAAGUCAGGUGGUUGAGUGCCGACAGGAAGGACUGGAACCACAGCAGGGUCACUAAGAAACAAGAGGGAGAUAUCAGCAUUCUCAGGUGAACUCCGAGCAUAGGAUGCAUUUUCCCUCAGUGCAACUGGAACCUUGUUUACCAAACUGUUAUGGGCCCAAGAAGACUCUAAAAUAAG